This 497-nucleotide ribosomal RNA is filed under the name uncultured bacterium. RNAcentral describes it as "partial 16S ribosomal RNA". It matches the Rfam family "Bacterial small subunit ribosomal RNA", at positions 28 to 507 of the family's 1533-position model. The record is from RNAcentral.
GAUGAACGCUGGCGGCGUGCCUAAUACAUGCAAGUCGAGCGAACAGAUGAGGAGCUUGCUCCUCUGACGUUAGCGGCGGACGGGUGAGUAACACGUGGAUAACCUACCUAUAAGACUGGGAUAACUUCGGGAAACCGGAGCUAAUACCGGAUAAUAUAUUGAACCGCAUGGUUCAAUAGUGAAAGACGGUUUUGCUGUCACUUAUAUAUGGAUCCGCGCCGCAUUAGCUAGUUGGUAAGGUAACGGCUUACCAAGGCAACGAUGCGUAGCCGACCUGAGAGGGUGAUCGGCCACGCUGGAACUGAGACACGGUCCAGACUCCUACGGGAGGCAGCAGUAGGGAAUCUUCCGCAAUGGGCGAAAGCCUGACGGAGCAACGCCGCGUGAGUGAUGAAGGUCUUCGGAUCGUAAAACUCUGUUAUUAGGGAAGAACAAAUGUGUAAGUAACUAUGCACGUCUUGACGGUACCUAAUCAGAAAGCCACGGCUAACUACGUG